UACGUAGGCGGAAAAUUAAGUCAGUAGUGAAAUCCUGCAGCUUAACUGUAGAACUGUUAUUGAUACUGGUUUUCUUGAAUAUAGUUGAGGUAGGCGGAAUGUGUAAUGUAGCGGUGAAAUGCUUAGAUAUUGCACAGAACACCGAUUGCGAAGGCAGCUUACUAAGCUAUGAUUGACGCUGAGGUACGAAAGCGUGGGGAGCGAACAGGAUUAGAUACCCUGGUAGUCC
RNAcentral lists this ribosomal RNA (229 nucleotides) under uncultured bacterium. RNAcentral's name for it is "partial 16S ribosomal RNA". It matches the Rfam family "Bacterial small subunit ribosomal RNA", at positions 568 to 796 of the family's 1533-position model. The record is from RNAcentral.